This 399-nucleotide ribosomal RNA is filed under the name uncultured bacterium. Its description in RNAcentral is "bacterial SSU rRNA". It matches the Rfam family "Bacterial small subunit ribosomal RNA", at positions 355 to 744 of the family's 1533-position model. The record is from RNAcentral.
UGGGGAAUAUUGGACAAUGGGGGGGAACCCUGAUCCAGCCAUGCCGCGUGUGUGAAGAAGGCCUUUUGGUUGUAAAGCACUUUAAGCGAGGAGGAGGCUCCCAGUAUUAAUACUACUGGAGAGUGGACGUUACUCGCAGAAUAAGCACCGGCUAACUCUGUGCCAGCAGCCGCGGUAAUACAGAGGGUGCAAGCGUUAAUCGGAUUUACUGGGCGUAAAGCGUGCGUAGGUGGCCAAUUAAGUCAAAUGUGAAAUCCCCGAGCUUAACUUGGGAAUUGCAUUCGAUACUGGUUGGCUAGAGUAUGGGAGAGGAUGGUAGAAUUCCAGGUGUAGCGGUGAAAUGCGUAGAGAUCUGGAGGAAUACCGAUGGCGAAGGCAGCCAUCUGGCCUAAUACUGAC